This is a non-coding RNA of Paramuricea clavata, 555 nucleotides long. The record is from the annotation of a GenBank genome assembly. Lineage: Eukaryota; Metazoa; Cnidaria; Anthozoa; Malacalcyonacea; Plexauridae.
GGGAUGGACGAGAGUGAGGUUUUCAAGAUAGUUCAAAAUUUAAACUCAUUAGUGUUAGAGUUAGGUUCAAGGUGACGGUAAGGGUAAGAGUAAGGGUAAGGGUAAGGGUAAGGGUAAGGGUAAGGGUAAGGGUAAGAGUAAGGGUAAGGGUAAGAGUAAGAGUAAGGGUAAGGGUAAGAGUAAGGGUAAGGGUAAGAGUAAGGGUAAGGGUAAGAGUAAGAGUAAGGGUAAGGGUAAGAGUAAGGGUAAGGGUAAGAGUAAGGGUAAGGGUAAGGGUAAGAGUAAGGGUAAGGGUAAGGGUAAGAGUAAGGGUAAGGGUAAGGGUAAGAGUAAGGGUAAGGGUAAGAGUAAGGGUAAGGGUAAGAGUAAGAGUAAGGGAAGGGUAAGGGUAAGGGUAAGAGUAAGGAUAAGGGUAAGGGUAAGAGUAAGGGUAAGGGUAAGAGUAAGAGUAAGGGUAAGAGUAAGGGUAAGGGUAAGAGUAAUGGUAAGGGUAAGAGUAAGGAUAAGGGUAAGGGUAAGGGUAAGGGUAAGAGUAAGGGUAAGAGUAAGGAUAAG